UACGGAGGAUGCAAGCGUUAUCCGGAUUUAUUGGGUUUAAAGGGUGCGUAGGCUGUGCGUCAAGUCAGGGGUGAAAGCCCGGGGCCCAACCCCGGAACUGCCCUUGAUACUGGCGCGCUGGAGUUCGGAUGCCGUGGGAGGAAUGAGUAGUGUAGCGGUGAAAUGCAUAGAUAUUACUCAGAACACCGAUUGCGAAGGCAUCUCACGAAUCCGACACUGACGCUGAGGCACGAAAGCGUGGGGAUCAAAC
Molecule: ribosomal RNA, 250 nt
Filed under: uncultured prokaryote
Description: partial 16S ribosomal RNA
Rfam family: Bacterial small subunit ribosomal RNA
Source: RNAcentral